Long non-coding RNA from Monomorium pharaonis (pharaoh ant), 465 nucleotides. RefSeq lists it as uncharacterized. The record is from RefSeq and is a predicted model, not a curated record. NCBI's taxonomy places the organism in Eukaryota, Metazoa, Arthropoda, Insecta, Hymenoptera, Formicidae. The transcript has 3 exons.
CAUUCAAGCGAAAUAUUGUACACAUAAAUUCUACUUGACACGAUCUUUCGAACGAUAUAUAAUACAUAUCCAUUCGCGAUUAUCACUUGGGGCACUUCCCUUGUUAGUAGCGCCGCGACAUUUGCGCAGUGAAGUUUACCGCAUCGUUUAAUUUCAUAGAAACAGAAAGAUCUGUGAACUUACUUUUGCUCUAUUUUCUUUGUUUACUUUUAUUUUCUUUUAAUCGAUUACCUCUUAAUCUACUACUUGGCGAUGCUUUUACUCAAAAUAAGUAACUAUUUGCGAUCAGUUACUCAUUGUAAGCUGCCAAGAGCUAGGCAACCAAAAUAGUCAGUUGAAGAAAGAUCGCCCGCUAAGUAGGACGUGUUUUGAAAACUCGCUAUAAAUACUGCCGAAUAGUCUUUCAGAUUUUCAGUGAACUCUGUACAUCCCAUUGUGUAUUUUCAUUAAUUUUUGACGAAACGU